UACGUAUGGUGCAAGCGUUAUCCGGAUUUACUGGGCGUAAAGGGAGCGCAGGCGGUCUUUUAAGUCUGAUGUGAAAGCCUUCGGCUUAACCGGAGUAGUGCAUUGGAAACUGGGAGACUUGAGUGCAGAAGAGGAGAGUGGAACUCCAUGUGUAGCGGUGAAAUGCGUAGAUAUAUGGAAGGACACCAGUGGCGAAAGCGGCUCUCUGGUCUGUAACUGACGCUGAGGUUCGAAAGCGUGGGUAGCAAACAGG
Molecule: ribosomal RNA, 253 nt
Filed under: uncultured bacterium
Lineage: Bacteria
Description: partial 16S ribosomal RNA
Rfam family: Bacterial small subunit ribosomal RNA
Source: RNAcentral